UCCUGUCUGAACAUGGGGGGACCACCCUCCAAGCCUAAAUACUCGUAUGUGACCGAUAGCGAACCAGUACCGUGAGGGAAAGGUGAAAAGAACCCCGGGAGGGGAGUGAAAUAGAUCCUGAAACCGUAUGCGUACAAGCAGUCGGAGCGGACUUGUUCCGUGACGGCGUACCUUUUGUAUAAUGGGUCAUCGACUUGGUCUAUCUAGCAAGCUUAAGCCGUUAGGUGUAGGCGCAGCGAAAGCGAGUCUGAAUAGGGCGCAUGAGUUAGAUGGAUCAGACCCGAAACCGAGUGAUCUAGGCAUGGCCAGGUUGAAGGUUGGGUAACACCAAC
RNAcentral lists this ribosomal RNA (332 nucleotides) under Kryptoperidinium foliaceum. Its description in RNAcentral is "partial Bacterial large subunit ribosomal RNA". It matches the Rfam family "Bacterial large subunit ribosomal RNA", at positions 432 to 766 of the family's 2925-position model. Lineage: Eukaryota; Dinophyceae; Peridiniales; Kryptoperidiniaceae. The record is from RNAcentral.